This 460-nucleotide ribosomal RNA is filed under the name uncultured bacterium. Its description in RNAcentral is "SSU rRNA". It matches the Rfam family "Bacterial small subunit ribosomal RNA", at positions 26 to 523 of the family's 1533-position model. The record is from RNAcentral.
AGGAUGAACGCUGGCGGCGUGCUUAAUACAUGCAAGUCGAGCGGUAAGGUCCCUUCGGGGAUACACGAGCGGCGGACGGCUGAGUAACACGUAGGAACGUACCCCAAAGUGAGGCAUAAGCACCAGAAAUGGUGUCUAAUACCGCAUAUGGCCCUCGGGUUAAAGCUUUCGGGCGCUUUGGGAACGGCCUGCGCAUGAUUAGCUUGUUGGUGAGGUAAUGGCUCACCAAGGCGACGAUCAUUAGCUGGUCUGAGAGGAUGAUCAGCCAGACUGGGACUGAGAACGGCCCAGACUCCUACGGGAGGCAGCAGUAGGGAAUUUUCCACAAUGGGCGAAAGCCUGAUGGAGCAACGCCGCGUGCAGGAUGAAGGCCUUAGGGUUGUAAACUGCUUUUAUAUGUGACGAUAAUGACGGUAGCAUAUGAAUAAGGAUCGGCUAACUCCGUGCCAGCGCCGGGUAA